This is a small nucleolar RNA of Suncus etruscus (white-toothed pygmy shrew), 103 nucleotides long. RefSeq annotates it as small nucleolar RNA U13. NCBI's taxonomy places the organism in Eukaryota, Metazoa, Chordata, Mammalia, Eulipotyphla, Soricidae. The record is from RefSeq and is a predicted model, not a curated record. The transcript has a single exon.
AUAAUUUUUCAGUUCAUAAGCAUGAUGAUUGGGUUUUCAUAUAUCUGUGAUAUGUGCCUCCCUUCAACCUUUGUUACGACAUUGGCACAUUACCCCUCUGACA